ACACAUGCAAGGCGAACGGCAGCGCGGGCUUCUGCCUGUCGGCGAGUGGCGAACGGGUGAGUAAUACAUCGGAACGUGCCCUGUUGUGGGGGAUAACUAGUCGAAAGAUUACCUAAUACCGCAUACGACCUGAGGGUGAAAGCGGGGGACCGGUAACGGCCUCGCGCAAUAGGAGCGGCCGAUGUCUGAUUAGCUAGUUGGUGAGGUAAAGGCCUACCAAGGCGACGAUCAGUAUCUGGUCUGAGAGGACCAUCAGCCACACUGGGACUGAGACACGGCCCACACUCCUACCGGAGGCAGCAGUGGGGAAUUUUGGACAAUGGGGGCAACCCUGAUCCAGCAAUGCCGCGUGUGUGAAGAAGGCCUUCGGGUUGUAAAGCACUUUUGUCCGGAAAGAAAUCGCGCUGGCUAAUACCUGGCGUGGAUGACGGUACCGGAACAAUAAGCACCGGCUAACUACGUGCCAGCAGCCGCGGUAAUACUUAGGGUGCGAGCGGUACUCCGAAUUACUGGGCGUAAAGCGUGCCGCACGCGGCUUUGUAAGACAGGCGUGAAAUCCCCGGGCUUAACCUGGGAAUGGCGCUUGUGACUGCAAGGCUAGAGUGCGUCAAAGGGGGGUAGAAUUCCACGUGUAGCAGUGAAAUGCGUAGAGAUGUGGAGGAAUACCGAUGGCGAAGGCAGCCCCCUGGGACGAGACUGACGCUCAUGCACGAAAGCGUGGGGAGCAAACAGGAUUAGAUAUCCUGGUAGUCCACGCCCUAAUCGAUGUCAACUAGUUGUUGGGGAUUCAUUUCUUCAGUAACGUAUCUAACGCGUGAAGUUGACCGUCUGGGGAGUACGGUCGCAAGAUUAAAUCUCAAAGGAAUUGACGGGGACCCGCACAAGCGGUGGAUGAUGUGGAUUAAUUCGAUGCAACGCGAAAAACCUUACGUACCCUUGACAUGCCACUAACGAAGCAGAGAUGCAUCAGGUGCCCGAAAGGGAAAGUGGACACAGGUGCUGCAUUGGCUGUCGUCAGCUCGUGUCGUGAGAUGUUGGGUUAAGUCCCGCAACGAGCGCAACCUUUGUCUGUAGUUGGUACGCAAGGGCACUUUAGAGAGACUGCCGGUGACAAACCGGAGGAAGGUGGGGAUGGUGUCAAGUCCUCAUGGCCCUUAUGGGUAGGGCUUCACACGUCAUACAAUGGUGAGUACAGAGGGUUGCCAACCCGCGAGGGGGAGCUAAUCCCAGAAAACGCAUCGUAGUCCGGAUCGUAGUAUGCAACUCGCAUACGUGAAGCUGGAAUCUCUAGUAAUCGCGGAUCAGCAUGCCGCGGUGAAUACGUUCCCGGGUCUUGUACACACCGCCCGUCACACCAUGGGAGUGGGUUUUGCCAGAAGUAGUUAGCCUAAUCGCAAGGAGGGCGAUUACCUCGGCAGGGUUCAUG
RNAcentral lists this ribosomal RNA (1426 nucleotides) under uncultured organism. RNAcentral's name for it is "SSU rRNA". It matches the Rfam family "Bacterial small subunit ribosomal RNA". The record is from RNAcentral.